This 252-nucleotide ribosomal RNA is filed under the name uncultured bacterium. Its description in RNAcentral is "partial 16S ribosomal RNA". It matches the Rfam family "Bacterial small subunit ribosomal RNA", at positions 524 to 776 of the family's 1533-position model. The record is from RNAcentral.
UACGUAGGGGGCAAGCGUUGUCCGGAAUUAUUGGGCGUAAAGCGCGCGCAGGCGGUUCUUUAAGUCUGGGGUUUAAACCUAGGGCUCAACCUUGGGUCGCAUCGGAAACUGGAGGACUGGAGUGUAGGAGAGGGAAGUGGAAUUCCACGUGUAGCGGUGAAAUGCGUAGAGAUGUGGAGGAACACCAGUGGCGAAGGCGACUUCCUGGCCUAUAACUGACGCUGAGGCGCGAAAGCGUGGGGAGCAAACAGG